Molecule: ribosomal RNA, 377 nt
Filed under: uncultured bacterium
Lineage: Bacteria
Description: bacterial SSU rRNA
Rfam family: Bacterial small subunit ribosomal RNA
Source: RNAcentral
UAAUACAGAGGGUGCAAACGUUGUUCGGAAUCACUGGGCAUAAAGCGUACGUAGGCGGCGCCGUAAGUGUCGGAUGAAAUCCCACGGCUUACCCGUGGAACGGUCCGGCAUACUGCGGUGCUAGAGGAUGGUAGAGGAGAGCGGAACUCUUGGUGGAGCGGUGAAAUGCGUAGAUAUCAAGAGGAACACCGGUGGCGAAGGCGGCUCUCUGGUCCAUGUCUGACGCUGAGGUACGAAAGCCAGGGGAGCAAACGGGAUUAGAUACCCCGGUAGUCCUGGCCGUAAACGAUGGGCACUAACUAGAAGUCUCACCUGUGGGAUUUCUGGUGAAGCAAAUGUGAUAAGUGCCCCGCCUGGGAAGUAUGGUCGCAAGGCUA